This 253-nucleotide ribosomal RNA is filed under the name uncultured bacterium. RNAcentral's name for it is "partial 16S ribosomal RNA". It matches the Rfam family "Bacterial small subunit ribosomal RNA", at positions 524 to 776 of the family's 1533-position model. The record is from RNAcentral.
UACAGGGGGGGCAAGCGUUGUUCGGAAUUACUGGGCGUAAAGGGUUUGUAGGUGGCUUGUUAAGUCAGACGUGAAAUCCCUCAGCUUAACUGGGGAACUGCGUCUGAUACUGAUGAGCUUGAGUGCAGGAGAGGAACGCGGAAUUCCAGGUGUAGCGGUGAAAUGCGUAGAUAUCUGGAGGAACACCGGUGGCGAAGGCGGCGUCCUGGACCAACACUGACACUGAUGAGCGAAAGCCAGGGGAGCAAACGGG